GAUGAAGAACGUAGCGAAAUGUGAUAAGUAAUGUGAAUUGCAGAAUUCAGUGAAUCAUCGAAUCUUUGAACGCACAUUGCGCCCCCUGGUAUUCCGGGGGGCAUGCCUGUUCGAGCGUCAUUUCACCACUCAAGCCUCGCUUGGUAUUGGGCAACGCGGUCCGCCGCGUGCCUCAAAUCGUCCGGCUGGGUCUUCUGUCCCCUAAGCGAUGUGGAAACUAUUCGCUAAAGGGUGUUCGGGAGGCUACGCCGUAAAACAACCCCAUUUCUAAGGUUGACCUCGGAUCAGGUAGGGGUACCCGCUGAACUUAAGCAUAUCAAUAAGCGGGGGA
This 331-nucleotide unclassified non-coding RNA is filed under the name soil metagenome. RNAcentral describes it as "partial contains 5.8S ribosomal RNA, internal transcribed spacer 2, and large subunit ribosomal RNA". The stretch from base 1 to 120 matches the Rfam family "5.8S ribosomal RNA", at positions 35 to 154 of the family's 154-position model. The record is from RNAcentral.